AGAACGAACGCUGGCGGCAGGCCUAACACAUGCAAGUCGAACGAGAUCUUCGGAUCUAGUGGCGCACGGGUGAGUAACGCGUGGGAACCUGUCCUUCGGUACGGAAUAACAUCGGGAAACUGGUGCUAAUACCGUAUAUUCCCUGAGGGGGAAAGAUUUAUCGCCGAAGGAGGGGCCCGCGUAGGAUUAGCUAGUUGGUGAGGUAACGGCUCACCAAGGCGACGAUCCUUAGCUGGUCUGAGAGGAUGAUCAGCCACACUGGGACUGAGACACGGCCCAGACUCCUACGGGAGGCAGCAGUGAGGAAUUUUCGGCAAUGGGGGCAACCCUGACCGAGCAACGCCGCGUGCAGGACGAAGGUCUUCGGAUCGUAAACUGCUUUUCUGUGGGAAGAGAACGGACGGUACCACAGGAAGAAGCCCCGGCUAACUACGUGCCAGCAGCCGC
RNAcentral lists this ribosomal RNA (447 nucleotides) under uncultured bacterium. RNAcentral's name for it is "SSU rRNA". It matches the Rfam family "Bacterial small subunit ribosomal RNA", at positions 26 to 518 of the family's 1533-position model. The record is from RNAcentral.